UACACUGACAGAAUAAAGACACUCUUAGUUUUAGAACAUGGCUAUCACCAGACACAGUCUGCUCAGCUUGGUGGUAUCUGUGCUCUGGAUUAAAGGUGGUGCUGAUGGAAGUGAUGUCCAGCAGACACCCAUACUGUGGGAAAGGGAGGGUAAAAGUGCAACGAUGCAGUGUAAUCACACGAAGGGUAGUGACUAUCUUUGGAUGUACUGGUUCAGACAGCUGCCUGGAGAAAAACUAACACUAAUUGUGUUUGCAACAACGGGCAAAACAGAUAAUGAGCAUGACUAUGGAGAUUUCAGCACAGGGAAAUUUUCAGCCAGCAAGACUGUUGCUGAGAGUGGGACAUUCACAGUGAAUAAACUGGAGCCAAAAGACCAAGGAUGGUAUUUCUGUGCUGUGAGUAAACACAAUGAUACAAACAGAGCAGAGAGCUGAACAAAAACCUCUGGGCAAAGUUCCCAUUACCUGCUCUACUGUAGGGAAACCUCAAGUACAACCACACACAUUCUUACUAUAAUCUGAUGCACUCAAAUAUAUCUGCAGUAACGUCAGUUACUGUCACUCACACCGGCAGAUUGUGGUCUUGGAUUUUAUUUAGCUAAGAACACAAUAAUAAUC
This is a non-coding RNA of Oreochromis niloticus (Nile tilapia), 619 nucleotides long. The record is from the annotation of a RefSeq genome assembly. NCBI's taxonomy places the organism in Eukaryota, Metazoa, Chordata, Actinopteri, Cichliformes, Cichlidae.